AUUACCAUUAUAUUUACAGUGGAAUUUCCACGUUGAUUUUAUUCACUUAACAUGGAAAUUCACAACAAUCAUAACACAAUAUAUUUAAUAAUCCAUACAGAUUAAUUUCCUUCGUAACUAACGUUCCAUUCCAUUUAAUGUAAUAUAAUUUCACGUAUGUUUUUUUUUAUUAUAGACACUCAAAAAAUCAACCGUCAAAAACUGAUUAUUCUUCAUAUUCGUUAUUACAAGCGCCCGUGAGUUGCCGGUAUUCUCGAUCAAUAAUCAGGUAUUACCUGCGUCAUAAUUUGGCAGACUGGAUUUCCAAUUCCACAGAAGUUUUAGACAGAUUUGUUCUGAUGUUAAAAUCAACUGGA
This is a long non-coding RNA of Syngnathus acus (greater pipefish), 356 nucleotides long. RefSeq lists it as uncharacterized. NCBI's taxonomy places the organism in Eukaryota, Metazoa, Chordata, Actinopteri, Syngnathiformes, Syngnathidae. The transcript is spliced from 3 exons. The record is from RefSeq and is a predicted model, not a curated record.